CGGGACGUAGCUCAGCCUGGCAGAGCGCCGCCUUUGGGAGGCGGAAGCCGUCGGUUCGAAUCCGACCGUCCCGA
This 74-nucleotide transfer RNA is filed under the name Gaiellaceae bacterium. RNAcentral describes it as "tRNA-Pro". It matches the Rfam family "tRNA". Rfam says of the family: Transfer RNA (tRNA) molecules are approximately 80 nucleotides in length. Their secondary structure includes four short double-helical elements and three loops (D, anti-codon, and T loops). Further hydrogen bonds mediate the characteristic L-shaped molecular structure. tRNAs have two regions of fundamental functional importance: the anti-codon, which is responsible for specific mRNA codon recognition, and the 3' end, to which the tRNAs corresponding amino acid is attached (by aminoacyl-tRNA synthetases). tRNAs cope with the degeneracy of the genetic code in two manners: having more than one tRNA (with a specific anti-codon) for a particular amino acid; and 'wobble' base-pairing, i.e. permitting non-standard base-pairing at the 3rd anti-codon position. The record is from RNAcentral. Lineage: Bacteria; Bacillati; Actinomycetota; Thermoleophilia; Gaiellales; Gaiellaceae. RNAcentral also lists the same sequence under 2 other names.